Molecule: transfer RNA, 73 nt
Filed under: Ectopistes migratorius (passenger pigeon)
Lineage: Eukaryota; Metazoa; Chordata; Aves; Columbiformes; Columbidae
Description: tRNA-Asn
Rfam family: tRNA
About the family: Transfer RNA (tRNA) molecules are approximately 80 nucleotides in length. Their secondary structure includes four short double-helical elements and three loops (D, anti-codon, and T loops).
Source: RNAcentral
UAGAUAGAAGCCCGUUGGUUUAGGCGCCUGGCUGUUAACCAGGAGCUUAUGGGAUCGAAGCCCAUCUGUCUAG